CAAACCCUACUGUCGAUGAAAAGUGCAGGAAGCAUCCAAAUAAAGAAAGAUAUGCCUUUGUGAAGAAGAGCAGACUAAACAAAAAGAUUUCUUAUGAUUUGGCCACCCCUAUGGAAGUCGUUCCAGAUGAGAACCUUUCAGUUGAAAAGUAGUUACCAGCUAUGGCUAAACAACCUGCAUUAGUAGUCGUAGAAACAAUACCGACACUACCAACAAUGGUGAAAUUGACGCCGAUGGAUGAUGUUCAGGAUCCGAAUACCUCAAAUGAGUCAGAAUUGAACAUUACAACUGAAGAAACCGUUAAUGAAAAUGCAG
This is a long non-coding RNA of Daphnia magna, 315 nucleotides long. RefSeq lists it as uncharacterized. The transcript is spliced from 3 exons. Lineage: Eukaryota; Metazoa; Arthropoda; Branchiopoda; Diplostraca; Daphniidae. The record is from RefSeq and is a predicted model, not a curated record.